Molecule: ribosomal RNA, 253 nt
Filed under: uncultured bacterium
Lineage: Bacteria
Description: partial 16S ribosomal RNA
Rfam family: Bacterial small subunit ribosomal RNA
Source: RNAcentral
UACAGAGGGCGCGAGCGUUAAUCGGAAUUACUGGGCGUAAAGCGUGCGUAGGCGGUUAUGUAAGUCAGAUGUGAAAGCCCCGGGCUCAACCUGGGAAUUGCAUUUGAGACUGUGUAGCUAGGGUGCGGAAGAGGGAAGCGGAAUUUCCGGUGUAGCGGUGAAAUGCGUAGAUAUCGGAAGGAACACCAGUGGCGAAAGCGGCUUCCUGGUCCAGCACCGACGUUCAGGCACGAAAGCGUGGGGAGCAAACAGG